Gorilla gorilla gorilla (western lowland gorilla) is the source of this 1073-nucleotide long non-coding RNA. RefSeq lists it as uncharacterized. The transcript is spliced from 3 exons. The record is from RefSeq and is a predicted model, not a curated record. Lineage: Eukaryota; Metazoa; Chordata; Mammalia; Primates; Hominidae.
UAUGUAACAUGAAUCUGUAUGAUGAAUUCUUGCUCAUAUUGAAGACAUGAAAUUCCUGAGUAGGACAUGUACUUUGAGUUCAUGAUCCCUAAAAGCAAGUCAUGGAUAUGCUUAAGUUAUCUGAGUGCUUUCCCUGGAGACCAGUAGAAUGCUUUGCUUUUCUUGCCAAGAAGUUCCUUCUAUCACACCUCAAUUCCGUCGAACACAGCUUCAGCCAGCUUGGAAAUAGCCUUUCUGUUGGGACAUUUCCAAAUCCCAGGUUUAGAGGUUCUUCCAUCUGGCAGGUGUCAAAGAAGACAACAGGAACCAUGAGCAGAACCACUUGGAACUGCAAACUCUUUGGGCCAAGGACAGACUUCUUCUCCAGGUCUGGUUUGGUUUGCAAAUUCCUGGCUGUCAUAGCAACCUGAAAAGCAAAGGAAGACUGUUUAGUGUCGUCUUUGACUGCAGCCUGGGCUCGGAAUGCGCUCAGGUUGGCCCAGUAAACAGUGUUCACCGGUAACCACUCUGUGUCUCUCCCUCUGGGCCCAGGGAUGGGUGAGGCAGGGAGCUCACCAGGCUCAAGUCAUCUGGCCGCACAGCUUCUCACCCAGUGUCACUCAGCUCCCCUCUGCUGCUCUGUCUCCCAGUGGCUCUGCCAGAUCUAACAUGGGGAGGGAAUUUCCAGAAGAGGCCUAUUGGGAGAUGGAGUCAACUCCACAGUGGAAGCAAAUGCCUGCCACCCACAUGAAGAUGUGUGAAGAUGACUUGGGGAGGGGGAGCCGACAGCAUUUCCAUGGUAACCUCAAGCAUCCCUGUGAAGUCAUCAUUGUGCUCCUCUGACCUAUUCAAACCCUGGCAACCAGGGCUGUUUAUCUCUAGGGAUUGAGUUCAAGAUCUAAAAAUGUGAAAGACCUAAACUGAAAUGAAUAAGCACCUCACUUGCUAAGAAGAAUUCCUGAUUAUGCACAGUGAUUGCCGAGAAAUCAUUGUUGGGCCAAAUUUCAAAAGUAAAAUUAUAAAAAAUACUGCAGUAUUUUUAUAGUUAAAAAAAGGGAUUGGGUGUAUUUUAAUAUGCUUAAUAUGAUGUGUGG